RNAcentral lists this ribosomal RNA (3482 nucleotides) under Peniophora lycii. RNAcentral's name for it is "large subunit ribosomal RNA". It matches the Rfam family "Bacterial large subunit ribosomal RNA". The record is from RNAcentral. Lineage: Eukaryota; Fungi; Basidiomycota; Agaricomycetes; Russulales; Peniophoraceae.
UCACCUUAUUUAAAUUUAAAAGAAUCGAUGACAAUUUAGUAUAAACAUCAAAUAGUAAUUUAAAGGAGUUAUUACAUGGGGGAAAAGCAAAUUUAUACAAAAGGCAGAACAAGCUACAGUUAAAUAUAAAGCUGUGGCAAGCCUAAGGGAAACCUUUUAAUGACAACUUCCUGAAGUAAAACAUUCUAGUAAGGAAAGGAAAGGAAAUCAACCGAGACUCCGAAAGUAAUGGUGAGUGAAAUCGGACUAGCCUAAAUCUUAAGUAUUAAAAAAUUAAAUUAGUAGGAACAUUAAUCCUCAUCUAAGCCAUAGAAGGUAUCCAGACCUGUAAAUUUUUUAAACUAAGAAUACCAAGUACAAUGAGAGAAAACUUGUUGGAAUAUAGGGGUACCAUCCUCUAAGGCUAAGUAUUAUAAAUUUAGCAAUAGCGCAGAGUACUGUAAAGGAAUCUUCUGAAAAAGACCACCUAAUAUAUAGAUAUAAGGUAGAUUAUGGUAAUCUAAUUAGAUUAUUACAUGGUUAUUGUCUUUAUAGAUAAAUAACAAAAAGUAAUCUCUUGAAAUAGAAUUGUAAUAGUAACUCUAUAAGCAGUCGAAGUUUUUAUAAGAAUUAAAAAUGACGGCGUACCUUUUGCAUAAUGGGUCAGCAAGUUAAUAGGAGUAGCAAGGUUAAAAGCCCUAGCGAAAGCGACUGAACUAAUACAAUUAAAAUUUUUAAUUAAGUUUUAAUAGAAAUAAUUCUUUAUGGAAAAUUAACUUUGUUUAAAAUCUCAUAAUUGAAUUAUUUUUUUAUUUAAUUAGUGUUGGAUAAGUUACUUCUAUUAGACCCGAAGCCAGUUGAUCUUUCCAAGACCAGAUUAUAAUGGAUCGAACGGGUGAAUGUUGCAAUAUUCUCCGAUGAGUUUUGGAAAGCGGUGAAAUGCCAAUCUAAACUGGUGAUAGCUGGUUUUCUACGAAACAUAUAUAAGUAUGACAUCUAUACAAGAUUUAUGGAGGUACAGCACGUGUAUCCAAACAAAUUUAAGAUUUAUUAAUCCAUAUGAUUCUGAAACCAUUGUCUAUUUUUUUGUAAGGAAAAGAGGCAGUAGGUCAGGAUUUAUGGGUAAAGUUAAUAAAUUUUUUAAGCGUUCAGGAAGAGGGGACGUAAAAAUCCUCCAAUGGAUUUCAAACUCGGAAUUACAUAAAUUGAUGAUAGAUAUUCAGACUAUUCAUGCUAAGUUGGAUAGUCAAGACGGAAACAGCCGAGAACAAGAAUCAAGGUCCCUAAUGAUUAUUAAGUGAAAAUAAGGAUGUGAAAUAUUGAAAACAACUGUAAAGUGAGCCUGGUAGUCGCUAUCUUUUAAUGACCGUUGUAACAACGUAGCAGUUAUUAGAAUUUCGCCCCGAAAAUUUAACGGGUCUAAAUAAUCAACCGAUAUCUUGUUAAUUAUAAAUUUUAUAAUUAAAUUUAUAGUUUAGGUAGUAGAACAUUCAGAAACUGAAAAAUAAACAGUGUUUCAUUGUUUUUAAGUAGCUGAAGAGAUAAUGCUGACAUGAGUAACAAAAGAAGUUAUAAUACUUCUCGCCGAAUACGAAAGGUUUGAAUAUGAUCUAUCAAAAUCAUAUAUGUUUCAUAAUAUCGGUCUCUAAGGUUUAAGCCAACGCUUUAACUGAUGAGUUUUUUAAGUAUCAUCCUUAUAUCUCUUGCUUUUAUUAUUAUCAAUUGCUAUUGAUUUUAUUUUUAUUAUGACUAUCGGGAGAUAGAUAAAUUAAUUUUUAUCCUCUUUUUAUUUUAAUAAAAAUGGAAAAUGCUUGGAUAGUAAGUUUUUUAAAGAAACUGUAAUUAUAAUAAAUUUAAAAAAGAUUGAUACUCUUAUCUCCUUCUAACUUUUAUACUGUCCUUGUCCUUAAGGGCUACUUUUAAUAGUAAAGUAUAAAGGUGAAUUAGGCAACAAUUAAAUCUUUUAACAAUUUAAAAGGGGGAAGGAGAAAUAGAUUAAAGAAUAUAGCUAUUUUUAAUUUAAAAAGGAAUUAGAGACUAUAUAUAAUAUAGUGUUUAAAAGUACAGAGAACUAGUAUUAAGGAUCAGGAAAAAAUUAAAAAAUACACCGUACCCUAAACCGUAAUCAGGUUCGUAGGUAGAGAAUACUAAGGCGUAGAGCUAAAAGUUGUUAAGGAACUCGGCAAGUUCUCCUCAAAAGUUUGACGAAAAGAGGCUACCGCGAAAAUUAAGCCAAUUCUUCUUAUAGAAGAAAAUUAGUAGCGGUAUAAGAAAAUCGGAAGCCACGACUGUUUACUAAAAACACAAUUCAGAGCAAUGAUAAGUAUCAUAGUAUUCUGGAUGAAAUUUGCUCAAUGCCUGCAGUAUAAGAGAGGUAAUUUUUUAGUUACUAAUCGAAAGCCUGGUAAAUAGCGGUCUUAACUAUGAGGAUCCAAAGGUAGCAAAAUCAAUUGGCCAUUAAAUGUGGUCCAGUAUCAAUAAUGUAACGAUGGUUUCACUGUCUCUACAACUUGCUCAGUGAAAUUGAACUGUGAGUGCAGAUGCUCACUAACUCAAGGGGGACGGGAAGACCCUAUGCAGCUUUACUGUAGUUAGUUAUUACAAUCCUCAAGCUUCUAAUUAAUAGCAAUUAGGCCUGUCGAAUGACAAAUUCUGGAAACCUUAGAAUUUAGAACUUGUUUAUUGAUAAACCGUAAAAAAGGUAGUGUUUACUAUCAAGGAAAAGUGACUAAUUGGCAGUUUGACUGGGGCGGUCGUCUUUAAUAAAGUAGCAAAGUACAUCCAAAUAUAUUUAAAAUUUAGUAGGGGAUUAUUUAUAAUAAUCUUUCGAACACACAUACAAAGAAGAUCUUAGGAUCUUUAAUUUUUAACAGAGAAGAAGGUUUAGCUAGAAGUGGAAUGGAGGUCCAUUAACCAGUGAAAGGUUACGGAGAGCGUAAUGGCGGAAAGCAAGCCUAACUGAAAGACUUAGAAGUCGCACAGAUACGUAAGUAGGGCAUAGUGACCCCUCGUUAAUCUAUGGAAUUGGCGAGGCUCAAUCGAUAAAAGUUACGCUAGGGAUAACAGGCUGAUAGCUGGUGAGAGUACACAUUGUCCUAGCUGUUUGGCACCUCGAUGUCGACUCAUCCUAUCCUCCGGGUGGAGAAGCUCGGAAGGGUUCGGCUGUUCGCCGAUUAAAAGGGUACGCGAGUUGGGUUUAAUACGACGUGAGUCAGUAUGGUCCCUAUCUUCUUGAGUAAUAAAUAGUAAAAGGGGGCAGACCUUCUAGUACGAAAGGAUCAAUAGGCUGUGUUUCUCUAGUGUACCAAUUGUAGAUGAAUAAAUCUUCUACUUCUUCAUAAUUAAUAUUUCUAUUGUAUAAUAGGACUGGAGGUUAUGUUGAAGGUAUUUGUAUGAAUCUAACUUGACUGGGAUUUAUACAAGUGUACGAAGAUUCGUUGAGUUAAAACAUUUUAAAACUAGUCAGGUAGUUAAUUUAAUUUGUUUCUCAAUCUUUGCAUAGU